CGUUCCCUUCUGUGUUGGUGACUGACGAAAGGUUUGAGCCAACAAAAUGUUGAACGGGAAUCCUCCCUGACGGUGGAGAGCACACCCCGCACCGGGGAAGCCAGAAGCCGUUACAAGGGUACCCACCUAUGUGGGACGGGUUCAACAUCAAUCGUCAGCACGGCAUCGGCGGGGAACAU
Molecule: non-coding RNA, 179 nt
Filed under: Deltaproteobacteria bacterium
Lineage: Bacteria; Pseudomonadati; Myxococcota; Myxococcia
Description: 6S RNA
Rfam family: 6S / SsrS RNA
About the family: E. coli 6S RNA was the first non coding RNA to be sequenced, but its function was unknown until recently.
Source: RNAcentral